RNAcentral lists this ribosomal RNA (157 nucleotides) under Diaphorina citri (Asian citrus psyllid). The record is from RNAcentral. Lineage: Eukaryota; Metazoa; Arthropoda; Insecta; Hemiptera; Psyllidae.
GCUAGCGGCGAUAGAACGUCAAAUACACCAGUUCCCAAUGCAUCACUGGAGUUAAGCAACGUUACGCGUGGCAGUUCCCCGAUGGUUCACUGAAGCAACGUUGUGUGUGGUUAGUAUCCAGAUGGGUGAUCAUCUGGGCAACCUUGUGCUACUGGCU